Molecule: ribosomal RNA, 253 nt
Filed under: uncultured bacterium
Lineage: Bacteria
Description: partial 16S ribosomal RNA
Rfam family: Bacterial small subunit ribosomal RNA
Source: RNAcentral
UACGUAGGGGGCAAGCGUUGUCCGGAAUCAUUGGGCGUAAAGCGGGUGCAGGUGGCUAUGUAAGUCAGGUGUGAAAGCCUAGGGCUCAACCCUAGAAGUGCAUUUGAUACUGCGUAGCUUGAGUGGUAGAGAGGAUAGUAGAAUUCUUGGUGUAGUGGUGAAAUACGUAGAUAUCAAGAGGAAUACCGGAGGCGAAGGCGGCUAUCUGGCUACACACUGACACUCAGACCCGAAAGUGCGGGGAUCAAACAGG